CCUACGGGCGGCUGCAGUGGGGAAUUUUGGACAAUGGGCGCAAGCCUGAUCCAGCCAUUCCGCGUGAGUGAAGAAGGCCUUCGGGUUGUAAAGCUCUUUCGCAAGGGAAGAAAACUUACAUUCUAAUAAAGUGUGAGGCUGACGGUACCUUGAUAAGAAGCACCGGCUAACUACGUGCCAGCAGCCGCGGUAAUACGUAGGGUGCGUGCGUUAAUCGGAGUGACUGGGGGUAAAUUUGGAACUGAGAUUUGAAAUCCCCGAGCUCAACUUGGGAACUGCGUUUGAAACUACAAGACUAGAAUAUGUCAGAGGGGGGUAGAAUUCCACGUGUAGCAGUGAAAUGCGUAGAGAUGUGGAGGAAUACCAAUGGCGAAGGCAGCCCCCUGGGAUAAUAUUGACGCUCAUGCACGAAAGCGUGGGGAGCAAACAGGAUUAGAUACCCCUGUAGUC
RNAcentral lists this ribosomal RNA (450 nucleotides) under uncultured bacterium. Its description in RNAcentral is "partial 16S ribosomal RNA". It matches the Rfam family "Bacterial small subunit ribosomal RNA", at positions 338 to 795 of the family's 1533-position model. The record is from RNAcentral.